Molecule: ribosomal RNA, 253 nt
Filed under: uncultured bacterium
Lineage: Bacteria
Description: partial 16S ribosomal RNA
Rfam family: Bacterial small subunit ribosomal RNA
Source: RNAcentral
GACAGAGGGUGCAAACGUUGUUCGGAAUUACUGGGCGUAAAGCGAGUGUAGGCGGUCUGAUAAGUCGGGUGUGAAAGCCCCGGGCUCAACCCGGGAAGUGCACUCGAAACUGACAGGCUAGAGUAUCGGAGAGGUUGGUGGAAUUCUCGGUGUAGAGGUGAAAUUCGUAGAUAUCGAGAGGAACACCGGUGGCGAAGGCGGCCAACUGGACGAAUACUGACGCUGAGUCUCGAAAGCGUGGGGAGCAAACAGG